CGGACGAACGCUGGCGGCGUGCUUAACACAUGCAAGUCGAACGGAAAGGCCCCUUCGGGGGUACUCGAGUGGCGAACGGGUGAGUAACACGUGGGCAACCUGCCCCUAGCUUCGGAAUAACAUCUGGAAACAGAUGCUAAUACCGGAUAAUAACCGACGAGGGCAUCCUUAUCGGUUCAAAGUUUUUCGGCUAGGGAUGGGCCCGCGGCCUAUCAGCUUGUUGGUGGGGUAAUGGCCUACCAAGGCGACGACGGGUAGCCGGCCUGAGAGGGCGACCGGCCACACUGGGACUGAGAUACGGCCCAGACUCCUACGGGAGGCAGCAGUGGGGAAUAUUGCGCAAUGGGCGAAAGCCUGACGCAGCGACGCCGCGUGAGGGACGACGGUCUUCGGAUUGUAAACCUCUUUCAGCUCUGACGAAGCGAAAGUGACGGUAGGAGCAGAAGAAGCACCGGCCAACUACGUG
This 466-nucleotide ribosomal RNA is filed under the name uncultured bacterium. RNAcentral's name for it is "bacterial SSU rRNA". It matches the Rfam family "Bacterial small subunit ribosomal RNA", at positions 27 to 507 of the family's 1533-position model. The record is from RNAcentral.